Molecule: small RNA, 943 nt
Filed under: Theobroma cacao (cacao)
Lineage: Eukaryota; Viridiplantae; Streptophyta; Magnoliopsida; Malvales; Malvaceae
Description: sRNA Tc07v2_g008300
Source: RNAcentral
CUAGGUUCUUCCUUCCUUCAACGUAUAGUUGACAUUGUGCUCAAUUUCAUCUUCUCCUGCAGCACCAUCUGGAAUCACUAGUUUCUCAACACUAUAUAAUAUUGUUGCUGAUUGGAGGUCAAGUGAAUCAGGCCCUAAGUGAAGUCGAAAAAGUUCUGUAACAAUUCAAGAGUGCCCUUUCCAUUUAGGUAUCGACCUACCAAAUAAUUUUGUUCCCCCCCUUUUUCCAUGGUUGCCAAGAAGUGAAUUCAUAUUGGAAAAUAUAAUCCCAAAGACUUUGAAGAAGGAUCCAACAUGCUGCCACUCAUUGGCAAGGCUUGUCAGCAUGCAACAAAAUGGUAUAUUAUCAAUUAUCUUGCAUAGAUAGACCAGUACCCACUUCAUUUGACAGUCGUUUCAAUGCAGUGAUUCUAUCACCUAGUUGUGACACAGCCACCACCAAGUCUGGAAUACCUUGUGGAGAUGAUUGCUUUGCAUUUGGAAGCUACCAAUCUAGAGUCCAAUACAUGGAGGGUGUUUGCUUCAUGCUUCCUCAAACUAUAUCAGCAUGAAGAGGAUCGAUUGUCAGUAUGUCUCAAUAGGAAUGAAGGUGAACAAAUUCCAAAGCUCUCUGUUAACUACAAUAAGAUGCCAAAAUUUUUACUGAGGGAAAAUCAAGAAAAGUUUGGAGGUUAUGCUGCAAAUGCUGGUUAAAACGUCACUUUGCCAUGAAGAUGCUUGCAUCAGAAAUGGCUUCAGGGUUCUCGGAGCUUUUAACUUACAAAGUAGCUUGCGCAUCCCAUUUGUAUGGUCAAGAGUUCAACUACGUUGGAAAGGUUUAUUGUCAUUUUGAGGAACAAAAUGAUAGGGACAUACUAAAAUUCCUAAAAAGGCACAUUGAGAAUUCUAUCAGAUUAAAUGUGAAUAUUCAAGAGAAAUUAAAUCAGAUAUAGUGUUCAUGCAA